Molecule: long non-coding RNA, 2882 nt
Filed under: Brassica napus (rape)
Lineage: Eukaryota; Viridiplantae; Streptophyta; Magnoliopsida; Brassicales; Brassicaceae
Description: long non-coding RNA (BNAP_LNC012491)
Source: RNAcentral
UAAUAAGCAACUUAUGAAUUGGGUUGGUUUUGGAUGCAGUUGGUGCAGCUAUUGCGUGGGGAUGACCGGUUAGCUGAGCCGCACGGCGGAGCAAGAACAGUGAGUCUCGACGGGUGUGACCUACAAGAUCAUACCUCUUCCUCGUACCUUGACGGUCUCAUUCGGCAUAGACAACUCUUAAUGGAGUGAAGCAACCAAUCCAACAACAACAAUAAAAGUAUUACCUUGUCUUUCUUGCAUGUGAUUUUACUCCAUAUUCUCCAUUGUAAAAAUCUCUAAAAGAAAGGAAAGAUUGUAUGUAUAAUUGGCCUCUAGUCUCAGCUUAUGCUUGUGUCUUCAACCUUUGUUCAUGUGAAAGCUGUAGUCACUUUUGAAAUCCGAAUGAUUAAUCGAAAUCUCACAGAGAAUCCAAGAGGACGAAGGCCAUGGCUGUUGAAGGUAAGGCUAUAUAGUCAAUGUUACGACAUUAUGUUUAUGCCUUGUCUUCUAAUGAAAAAAUCUACUCAAACAUGUUAUGUGCAGAGAUGGAGAAGAAGAAAAAGAAGAAGAACAAAGGAAGCAAUGAAAAGACGGAGACGGAGAACAGCGACUCAUUAUCUAUCGACGAUCCAUCGCCGAGAUGCGUUCUUGAAAUCCCAUUAACGAGUUCGGACUCCGACAACAGCAGCAGCUGCAGCUCGUGCUCGCCUGAUAAGUCAUCGUCGCCGUUAUCUACAACUCCUCCGAACGUCUCGUCUCUUCAGCACCACGGUCUUCAAUGGAACAAGAUGAUAGACUCUAUCAAGAAGAAGUCCAUCAGGAGAUUCUCUGUCAUUCCUCUCCUCGCCAGCUACGAGCUCACGAGGAAAAACAUGCGGCGGAAACAGCCUAAGUUGUCUCCUUCUCCGGUUGACUGCGAUCAAAUAUUGGUCGCUAAACCGUCGUGGCGAAAUUUCAGUUACGAAGAGCUUGUGGCCGCCACGGACAGUUUUAAUCCCGGUAAGGUUUGGUAAGGUUCUGUUCAUGGCAGGUCCUGAAAUUUUAAAGAUUUCAAGAAUCAUAAACAUUUACCUAGAACUAUAAUAAUCUUAUAAAAAUAAUAUGAUGCCCUAGUAUGGGUCUUGAUAUGUUGUACUUGUUGUUAGAGAAUAUGACUUGAGCCAUGACCGGUCCUAAAAUUUUAGAAGUUAUAGACAAUUUAAUAAAAAUUUCAGGUAGUUUGAGGGUUUAAAAUUCUUUUUUUACAAAUUUAAGGGCCAAUAUAAUUUUUUUCAAAACUUUUUAGAGCCCUCGGGCCUGAGGCGAAUGUUUCAUCAGUCCAAGCCUUGCUUGGAGGUUCUGUAUUUUAAACUAUUUCCUAAAAUUUUGUAGAAUAAUCCCAAUGUCUUACUCGGAUGUAUCCAGAUCCGGCUCUGGUUCUGUUCUUGUGUCUCCUAGCAUGGUUUUUGAUAUAUUGUACUUGUUUUUGUUAGAGAAUAUGAUUGGGAAAGGAGGACAUGCGGAGGUGUACAAAGGAGUUUUACCUGACGGAGAGACGGUGGCGAUCAAGAAGCUGAUGAGACACGCCAUGGAAGAAGAAGAAAGAGUCAGCGACUUCUUAUCCGAGUUAGGGAUGAUCGCACACGUUAACCACCCAAACGCAGCUAGGCUUCGCGGUUUCAGUAGCGAUCGCGGUUUGCAUUUUGUGCUUGAGUACGCUCCGCACGGCAGUCUCGCUUCUCUACUCUUUGGUACAACUCUCCAUUUCAAUGAAAAUGCUUUUUAAAGCAUUGUUGUUUUUUUUUUUUGUGUUUAUGUUUUUUAAAACCUUUGUAGGGUCUGAGGAGGAGUGUUUGGAUUGGAAGAAACGGUAUAAAGUGGCUUUGGGUGUAGCUGAUGGUUUGAGUUAUCUUCAUAAUGAUUGUCCUAGACGGAUUAUUCACCGUGACAUCAAAGCUUCCAACAUUUUGCUAAGUCAAGAUUAUGAAGCUCAGGUAUUUUUAUUGAUGAUUAAUUCAACAAUCAAAAACUAAUCAGUUUUAGCUGAAUCUGAUAUGAAUUUUUUUUGGGUAGAUAUCUGAUUUUGGACUUGCUAAGUGGCUCCCAGAGAAUUGUCCUCAACAUAUUGUUUUCCCUAUCGAAGGCACAUUCGGGUCAGACAGAGACUUCCACGGCUACACAAUCUCUUCUUGAUGUUUAAAUCUUAACUAGGUUGGUUCUUUGUUUCUCUUACAGGUAUCUAGCUCCAGAGUACUUUAUGCAUGGGAUAGUUGAUGAGAAGACGGAUGUGUUUGCUUUUGGGGUGUUGCUUCUAGAGAUCAUAACUGGUCGUCGAGCGGUUGAUACAGAUAGCAGGCAAAGCAUUGUGAUGUGGGUAAUGAUCUGAAACUGCUCUUCUUCUUCUCUUUGUACGCAUUUUACAACAAUUAAGACAGUUUGAAAUGCUUAUUUUUCAAGGUGAAACCACUUCUGGAGAAGAGCAGCUUGGAGGAAAUAGUUGAUCCUAAGCUAGGAAAUGACUUUGAUGAAACUGAGAUGAGAAGGGUGAUGCAAACAGCUUCAAUGUGCAUACACCAUGUAGCCACUAUGCGUCCUGAUAUGAACCGGGUAUGUUUCAUUUCCAAAGCCAAACCAGUCCCAUUAGUGUUUGAUCUAAUAAGCAACUUAUGAAUUGGGUUGGUUUUGGAUGCAGUUGGUGCAGCUAUUGCGUGGGGAUGACCGGUUAGCUGAGCCGCACGGCGGAGCAAGAACAGUGAAUCUCGACGGGUGUGACCUACAAGAUCAUACCUCUUCCUCGUACCUUGACGGUCUCAUUCGGCAUAGACAACUCUUAAUGGAGUGAAGCAAGCAAUCCAACAACAACAACAAAAGUAUUACCUUGUCUUUCUUGCAUGUGAUUUUACUUCAUAUUCUCCAUUGUAAAA